CCCAGUUCGUGCCGUGAGGAGGGCGGGCGGACUUUGUGUGCAGAUUUCCCGCAGACCUGCAGCGCAGGGGUCCCACAGGAGGGAGGUUCGAGCCUCUGACGCCAAAAAGAGCCCGAUUUCGGAGUUUAUCAGCUCGUGUAAGAGCAGUACGUUUGCACAUGUCCCCUCCUUCCGAGUGGGGGGGGGGGGGGGGCUGUAAGUGGUCCUUCGUGUCCAUCUUACAGCAAUUUAGCCAUCGGUAGAGCAGGAGCAUUUUUACUGUGUCAAUUUAGCGAAGUACCUGGGUCAAGGGUACGAGAGCAGGAGGUGGGAUUGAAGCCCGGGUCGUUCACCUCUAAUGACUGCGCCUCCUGCUGGCACACUGAGCUCAGCUGCAGACACACCAACGCAGCACACACCCACUGUCUUUAUAGGGGCUGUGGGGGGGUCAGGCACCGCACCCCCCACCAGAGACACAGCCACAGCUCAUAUGAGAUCCACACCUUUGAGCUGCAUUGGGGGGGGGGUUGUUUGCCCCCUGCUCACGCAGGUUCGAGGAAACCGGUUUCUCUCACGCUCCCGAUGGAUUCGACGACCCCGAACAAAAUCUGUGUCGCAUCGCUGUAUGUGAGACGGCCGCUCCGGGACCGUGUCUUUCCUCCGUGCUGCGGGACAGGCCCGUUCACGCCGCCGCUUCUGUGCUUCUGUGGCUCGCACCUUCACCCGCUUCCUGCCAUGAGGGUGGGGUGGGGUGGGGGGGCCGGGGGUCCCGGUUCCAGAGCCCCGGGGCUUCCAGGCCAGAGAGCGGCUCGUAUUCGUAGCGUGGGGGGUGGAGUGUGUGUGUGUGUGUGUGUGUGUGUGUGUGUGUGCGGGGGGGGGGUGGGGGGCAGUGCCAGGGUUCGACUCGGCAAAACAAAGCGAACCUGAACAAGAAAAAGAGCAGAACAACAAGACAGAAGGAGCGCAAAAGAGAAGAGAGAAGAAAAGAAAAACUAAAGAAAAUGAAACACAACAAGAGAAUGGGAACCAAAACAGAAGUAAACAGCGGAACAGAUAAAAAG
This 1040-nucleotide long non-coding RNA is filed under the name Scleropages formosus (Asian bonytongue). Its description in RNAcentral is "lncRNA (ENSSFOG00015026791.1)". Lineage: Eukaryota; Metazoa; Chordata; Actinopteri; Osteoglossiformes; Osteoglossidae. The record is from RNAcentral.